RNAcentral lists this ribosomal RNA (399 nucleotides) under uncultured bacterium. RNAcentral describes it as "bacterial SSU rRNA". It matches the Rfam family "Bacterial small subunit ribosomal RNA", at positions 43 to 407 of the family's 1533-position model. The record is from RNAcentral.
CAGGCCUAACACAUGCAAGUCGAACGAGGUUUGGUCAGUUUGCGGUGGUGCUUGAAUCACCAAUUACCGAUCAAACGGAGUGGCGGACGGGUGAGUAACGCGUGGGUAACCCGCCCUUCAGCAGGGGAUAACAUUUGCAAACAGAUGCUAAUACCGUAUAACCACGGAGACCGCAUAGUCUCCGGGUAAAAGAUGGCGCAAGCUAUCACUGAAGGAUGGACCCGCGGCGUAUUAGCCAGUUGGUGGGGUAACGGCCUACCAAAGCGAUGAUACGUAGCCGACCUGAGAGGGUAAUCGGCCACAUUGGGACUGAGACACGGCCCAAACUCCUACGGGAGGCAGCAGUAGGGAAUCUUCCACUAAUGGACGCAAGUCUGAUGGAGCAACGCCGCGUGAGUG